Long non-coding RNA from Anopheles funestus (African malaria mosquito), 10696 nucleotides. RefSeq lists it as uncharacterized. NCBI's taxonomy places the organism in Eukaryota, Metazoa, Arthropoda, Insecta, Diptera, Culicidae. The transcript has 4 exons. The record is from RefSeq and is a predicted model, not a curated record.
AAUAAUAUUAACACCAGAUAAACACUACACUCUGGAGACACAUAGUCCACUAUCUCUGAAACCAUGACUUUAAACUAUUCUCAUUUUAACUUUUAAAUCUACGAUCGAAGGGCUGCCAGUUCACCCUUAUCUUUUGAACCAAGUGUCUCCUUUACAUUGCGUGAAAUUUACGAUAAAGUAGAUACUUCACAGAGUUUUUCAUAAUGUACUACCGCCUUUAAGGUUUGUAGUAGAGAUGAGAAUAACAACUCUUUUUAGUGAGUCAACUCAGAGUGAAUGAGUCGUUAUUAGGAGUCAGCUCUUUCAACGACUCAUUUCGGAGUAAUAAAAACCCCACCCCGGUCAGUAGUUUCAUAAUUUGACUUCCUCCGAUCGGUCAUCAUGGAAUGCAAAAUAAACCUUAUUGAUUUAAGUUUAUCGACAGUGCGACUCUCUUUAGUUUUGGGGCCAAAAUUAACAUUCCGCUUGGGACCUCCGAGAAGCUUGAUCCGCCUCUGCUCCUAAUGCCUAUUUUUUACCUUUUUUUUGAGUAAUUUAGCAAAAUAUAAUAAAUUGAUUUUUUUAUGCCAUUUGGCUCAAAUAAGUUUCUUUUCACUCAAAUAAUUCUUUAAAUAAAGAAAGGAUGAAAAAAUCAUAAGGAAAUAAAAAAAAUCUAAAAAUUUGAAAAUUUCACUCAAAUAAUACUUUAAAUAAAAAAAAGAAUAAAAAAUGCUAUAAAUUUACCAAUCUUUUAAGCAGAGGCGGAUCCCGUUUCAUGUCCUUGCCGAUCAGACAAACUCGCUUGUACGCUUAUGUAGGUUUGAUAGUUAGGCAGAGCGAGUAGUAUAUUCAUUUGGCUAGUUUUGGGUAUGUACAAAUGUAUUACGUUUCAACUCUUCAAACGUUUCGUUUCCACUCAAAAUUUUCGAGUAGAAAUUUUUUUUGAAUUUUUUUUCUGAUUUUUUAUUAUUUUUUUAAUUUAAAGCAUUAUUUGAGUGAAACGAAACUUAUUGCAACAAAUUCGCAAUAAAAUAUAUCACAUUUAAACAUUUUGCUGAAUUGCAGAAUAAUGAGGAAAAUUUUACAUUUUCACAAACAGGGUAUGGAACCUGGUUCCUCGAAUAACUUCUGGCACAGACAUCUGAGGGCAUGGCCGUCCAAGAAGAAAAUGUAGCCAUUGGUGCCAUCUAUCGACCACAGGUUAAAGAUUGGCGAUCCGUUGGAUACCGACCGAGUUAUAGGCAAAACUUGGUGCAAAAAUGAGGAAAAUUUUACAUUUUCUCAAACAGAGUAAGGAACUUGGUUCCUCGAAUAACUUCUGGCACAGACAUCUGAGGGCAUGGCCGUCCAAGAAGAAAAUGUAGCCAUUGGUGCCAUCUAUCGACCACAGGUUAAAGAUUGGCGAUCCGUUGGAUACCGACCGAGUUAUAGGCAAAACUUGGUGCAAAAAUGAGGAAAAUUUUACAUUUUCUCAAACAGGGUAAGGAACUUGGUUCCUCGAAUAACUUCUGGCACAGACAUCUGAGGGCAUGGCCGUCCAAGAAGAAAAUGUAGUCAAUGGUGCCAUAUAUCGACCACAGGUUAAAGAUUGGCGAUCCGUUGGAUACCGACCGAGUUAUAGCCAAAAUUUGGUGCAAAAAUGAGCCUUAGUAAAUUUUCAUUUUUUUGAUUUUUUUUUAUUUUUUUACUAUUUUUCACUCUUUUUUUUAUUUAAAGCAUUACUUGAGUGAAAAGACACACAUUGCAACCAAUUGGCAUUAAAAUAAAUCAAUUUCAUUUUUUUUUGCAAAAUUUCCCAAAAAAACGUAAGGGGUAAGCCUUAUGAAAUUUUCGAGUGGAAAAUUUUUUUGAAAUUUUUUUCUGAUUUUUUAUUAUUUUUUUAAUUUAAAGCAUUAUUUGAGUGAAAAGAAACUUAUUGCAACAAAUUCACAAUAAAAUAUAUCACAUUUAAAAAUUUUGCUGAAUUGCAGUAAAAUGAGGAAAAUUUUACAUUUUCUCAAACAGGGUAAGGAACUUGCUUUCUCGAAUAACUUCUGGCACAGACAUCUGAGGGCAUGGCCGUCCAAGAAGAAAAUGUAGCCAUUGGUCCCAUCUAUCGACCACAGGUUAAAGAUUGGCGAUUCGUUGGAUACCGACCGAGUUAUAGGCAAAACUUGGUGCAAAAAUGAGGAAAAUUUUACAUUUUCUCAAACAGGGUAAGGAACUUGGUUCCUCGAAUAACUUCUGGCACAGACAUCUGAGGGCAUGGCCGUCCAGGAAGAAAAUGUAGCCAUUGGUGCCAUCUAUCGACCACAGGUUAAAGAUUGGCGAUCCGUUGGAUACCGACCGAGUUAUAGGCAAAACUUGGUGCAAAAAUGAGGAAAAUUUUACAUUUUCUCAAACAGGGUAAGGAACUUGGUUCCUCGAAUAACUUCUGGCACAGACAUCUGAGGGCAUGGCCGUCCAAGAAGAAAAUGUAGCCAUUGGUGCCAUCUAUCGACCACAGGUUAAAGAUUGGCGAUCCGUUGGAUACCGACCGAGUUAUAGCCAAAAUUUGGUGCAAAAAUGAGCCUUAGUAAAUUUUCAUUUUUUUGAUUUUUUUUUAUUUUUUUACUAUUUUUCACUCUUUUUUUUAUUUAAAGCAUUACUUGAGUGAAAAGACACACAUUGCAACCAAUUGGCAUUAAAAUAAAUCAAUUUCAUUUUUUUUGCAAAAUUUCCCAAAAAAAACGUAAGGGGUAAGCCUUAUGAAAUUUUCGAGUAGAAAAUUUUUUUGAAAUUUUUUUCUGAUUUUUUAUUAUUUUUUUAAUUUAAAGCAUUAUUUGAGUGAAAAGAAACUUAUUGCAACAAAUUCACAAUAAAAUAUAUCACAUUUAAAAAUGUUGCUGAAUUGCAGAAAAAUGAGGAAAAUUUUACAUUUUCUCAAACAGGGUAAGGAACUUGCUUUCUCGAAUAACUUCUGGCACAGACAUCUGAGGGCAUGGCCGUCCAGGAAGAAAAUGUAGCCAUUGGUGCCAUCUAUCGACCACAGGUUAAAGAUUGGCGAUUCGUUGGAUACCGACCGAGUUAUAGGCAAAACUUGGUGCAAAAAUGAGGAAAAUUUUACAUUUUCUCAAACAGGGUAAGGAACUUGGUUCCUCGAAUAACUUCUGGCACAGACAUCUGAGGGCAUGGCCGUCCAAGAAGAAAAUGUAGCCAUUGGUGCCAUCUAUCGACCACAGGUUAAAGAUUGGCGAUCCGUUGGAUACCGACCGAGUUAUAGGCAAAACUUGGUGCAAAAAUGAGGAAAAUUUUACAUUUUCUCAAACAGGGUAAGGAACUUGGUUCCUCGAAUAACUUCUGGCACAGACAUCUGAGGGCAUGGCCGUCCAAGAAGAAAAUGUAGCCAUUGGAGCCAUCUAUCGACCACAGGUUAAAGAUUGGCAAUCCGUUGGAUACCGACCGAGUUAUAGGCAAAACUUGGUGCAAAAAUGAGGAAAAUUUUACAUUUUCUCAAACAGGGUAAGGAACUUAGUUCCUCGAAUAACUUCUGGCACAGACAUCUGAGGGCAUGGCCGUCCAAGAAGAAAAUGUAGCCAUUGGUGCCAUCUAUCGACCACAGGUUAAAAAUUGGCGAUCCGUUGGAUACCGACCAAGUUAUAGCCAAAAUUUGGUGCAAAAAUGAGCCUUAGUAAAUUUUCAUUUUUUUGAUUUUUUUUUAUUUUUUUACUAUUUUUCACUCUUUUUUUUAUUUAAAGCAUUACUUGAGUGAAAAGACACACAUUGCAACCAAUUGGCAUUAAAAUAAAUCAAUUUCAUUUUUUUUGAAAAAUUUCCCAAAAAAAACGUAAGGGGUAAGCCUUAUGAAAUUUUCGAGUGGAAAAUUUUUUUGAAAUUUUUUUCUGAUUUUUUAUUAUUUUUUUAAUUUAAAGCAUUAUUUGAGUGAAAAGAAACUUAUUGCAUCAAAUUCACAAUAAAAUAUAUCACAUUUAAAAAUGUUGCUGAAUUGCAGAAAAAUGAGGAAAAUUUUACAUUUUCUCAAACAGGGUAAGGAACUUGCUUUCUCGAAUAACUUCUGGCACAGACAUCUGAGGGCAUGGCCGUCCAAGAAGAAAAUGUAGCCAUUGGUGCCAUCUAUCGACCACAGGUUAAAGAUUGGCGAUCCGUUGGAUACCGACCGAGUUAUAGCCAAAAUUUGGUGCAAAAAUGAGCCUUAGUAAAUUUGAAUUUUUUUUAUUUUUUUGAUUUUUUUAUUAUUUUUCACACUUUUUUUUAUUUAAAGCAUUACUUGAGUGAAAAGAAACACAUUGCAACCAAUUGGCAUUAAAAUAAAUCAAUUUCAUUUUUUUUGCAAAAUUUCUCAAAAAAAACGUAAGGGGUAAGCCUUAUGAAAUUUUGGAGUGGAAAAUUUUUUUGAAAUUUUUUUCUGAUUUUUUAUUAUUUUUUUAAUUUAAAGCAUUAUUUGAGUGAAAAGAAACUUAUUGCAACAAAUUCACAAUAAAAUAUAUCACAUUUAAAAAUGUUGCUGAAUUGCAGAAAAAUGAGGAAAAUUUUACAUUUUCUCAAACAGGGUAAGGAACUUGCUUUCUCGAAUAACUUCUGGCACAGACAUCUGAGGGCAUGGCCGUCCAGGAAGAAAAUGUAGCCAUUGGUGCCAUCUAUCGACCACAGGUUAAAGAUUGGCGAUCCGUUGGAUACCGACCGAGUUAUAGGCAAAACUUGGUGCAAAAAUGAGGAAAAUUUUACAUUUUCUCAAACAGGGUAAGGAACUUGGUUCCUCGAAUAACUUCUGGCACUGACAUCUGAGGGCAUGGCCGUCCAAGAAGAAAAUGUAGCCAUUGGUGCCAUCUAUCGACCACAGGUUAAAGAUUGGCGAUCCGUUGGAUACCGACCAAGUUAUAGCCAAAACUUGGUGCAAAAAUGAGCCUUAGUAAAUUUUCAUUUUUUUUAUUUUUUUUUAUUUUUUUACUAUUUUUCACUCUUUUUUUUAUUUAAAGCAUUACUUGAGUGAAAAGACACACAUUGCAACCAAUUGGCAUUAAAAUAAAUCAAUUUCAUUUUUUUUGCAAAAUUUCCCAAAAAAAACGUAAGGGGUAAGCCUUAUGAAAUUUUCGAGUGGAAAAUUUUUUUGAAUUUUUUUUCUGAUUUUUUAUUAUUUUUUUAAUUUAAAGCAUUAUUUGAGUGAAAAGAAACUUAUUGCAACAAAUUCACAAUAAAAUAUAUCACAUUUAAAAAUGUUGCUGAAUUGCAGAAAAAUGAGGAAAAUUUUACAUUUUCUCAAACAGGGUAAGGAACUUGCUUUCUCGAAUAACUUCUGGCACAGACAUCUGAGGGCAAGGCCGUCCAAGAAGAAAAUGUAGCCAUUGGUGCCAUCUAUCGACCACAGGUUAAAGAUUGGCGAUCCGUUGGAUACCGACCGAGUUAUAGGCAAAACUUGGUGCAAAAAUGAGGAAAAUUUUACAUUUUCUCAAACAGGGUAAGGAACUUGGUUCCUCGAAUAACUUCUGGCACAGACAUCUGAGGGCAUGGCCGUCCAAGAAGAAAAUGUAGCCAUUGGUGCCAUCUAUCGACCACAGGUUAAAGAUUGGCGAUCCGUUGGAUACCGACCGAGUUAUAGGCAAAACUUGGUGCAAAAAUGAGGAAAAUUUUACAUUUUCUCAAACAGGGUAAGGAACUUGGUUCCUCGAAUAACUUCUGGCACAGACAUCUGAGGACAUGGCCGUCCAAGAAGAAAAUGUAGCCAUUGGUGCCAUCUAUCGACCACAGGUUAAAGAUUGGCGAUCCGUUGGAUACCGACCGAGUUAUAGGCAAAACUUGGUGCAAAAAUGAGGAAAAUUUUACAUUUUCUCAAACAGGGUAAGGAACUUGCUUUCUCGAAUAACUUCUGGCACAGACAUCUGAGGGCAUGGCCGUCCAAGAAGAAAAUGUAGCCAUUGGUGCCAUCUAUCGACCACAGGUUAAAGAUUGGCGAUCCGUUGGAUACCGACCGAGUUAUAGGCAAAACUUGGUGCAAAAAUGAGGAAAAUUUUACAUUUUCUCAAACAGGGUAAGGAACUUGGUUCCUCGAAUAACUUCUGGCACAGACAUCUGAGGGCAUGGCCGUCCAAGAAGAAAAUGUAGCCAUUGGUGCCAUCUAUCGACCACAGGUUAAAGAUUGGCGAUCCGUUGGAUACCGACCGAGUUAUAGGCAAAACUUGGUGCAAAAAUGAGGAAAAUUUUACAUUUUCUCAAACAGGGUAAGGAACUUGGUUCCUCGAAUAACUUCUGGCACAGACAUCUGAGGGCAUGGCCGUCCAAGAAGAAAAUGUAGCCAUUGGUGCCAUCUAUCGACCACAGGUUAAAGAUUGGCGAUCCGUUGGAUACCGACCGAGUUAUAGGCAAAACUUGGUGCAAAAAUGAGCCUUAGUAAAUUUUCAUUUUUUUGAUUUUUUUUAUUUUUACUAUUUUUCACUCUUUUUUUUAUUUAAAGCAUUACUUGAGUGAAAAGACACACAUUGCAACCAAUUGGCAUUAAAAUAAAUCAAUUUCAUUUUUUUUGCAAAAUUUCCCAAAAAAAACGUAAAGGGUAAGCCUUAUGAAAUUUUCGAGUGGAAAAUUUUUUUGAAAUUUUUUUCUGAUUUUUUAUUAUUUUUUUAAUUUAAAGCAUUAUUUGAGUGAAAAGAAACUUAUUGCAACAAAUUCACAAUAAAAUAUAUCACAUUUAAAAAUGUUGCUGAAUUGCAGAAAAAUGAGGAAAAUUUUACAUUUUCUCAAACAGGGUAAGGAACUUGCUUUCUCGAAUAACUUCUGGCACAGACAUCUGAGGGCAUGGCCGUCCAAGAAGAAAAUGUAGCCAUUCAUGCCAUCUAUCGACCACAGGUUAAAGAUUGGCGAUCCGUUGGAUACCGACCGAGUUAUAGCCAAAAUUUGGUGCAAAAAUGAGCCUUUGUAAAUUUGCAUUUUUUUUAUUUUUUUGAUUUUUUUAUUAUUUCUCACACUUUUUUUUAUUUAAAGCAUUACUUGAGUGAAAAGAAACACAUUGCAACCAAUUGGCAUUAAAAUAAAUCAAUUUCAUUUUUUUUGCAAAAUUUCUCAAAAAAAACGUAAGGGGUAAGCCUUAUGAAAUUUUCGAGUGGAAAAUUUUUUUGAAAUUUUUUUCUGAUUUUUUAUUAUUUUUUUAAUUUAAAGCAUUAUUUGAGUGAAAAGAAACUUAUUGCAACAAAUUCACAAUAAAAUAUAUCACAUUUAAAAAUUUUGCUGAAUUGCAGAAAAAUGAGGAAAAUUUUACAUUUUCUCAAACAGGGUAAGGAACUUGCUUUCUCGAAUAACUUCUGGCACAGACAUCUGAGGGCAUGGCCGUCCAAGAAGAAAAUGUAGCCAUUGGUGCCAUCUAUCGACCACAGGUUAAAGAUUGGCGAUCCGUUGGAUACCGACCGAGUUAUAGGCAAAACUUGGUGCAAAAAUGAGGAAAAUUUUACAUUUUCUCAAACAGGGUAAGGAACUUGGUUCCUCGAAUAACUUCUGGCACAGACAUCUGAGGGCAUGGCCGUCCAAGAAGAAAAUGUAGCCAUUGGUGCCAUCUAUCGACCACAGGUUAAAGAUUGGCGAUCCGUUGGAUACCGACCGAGUUAUAGGCAAAAUUUGGUGCAAAAAUGAGCCUUAGUAAAUUUGCAUUUUUUUUAUUUUUUUUUAAUUUUUUACUAUUUUUCACUCUUUUUUUUAUUUAAAGCAUUACUUGAGUGAAAAGACACACAUUGCAACCAAUUGGCAUUAAAAUAAAUCAAUUUCAUUUUUUUUUGCAAAAUUUCCCAAAAAAAACGUAAGGGGUAAGCCUUAUGAAAUUUUCGAGUGGAAAAUUUUUUUGAAAUUUUUUUCUGAUUUUUUAUUAUUUUUUUUAAUUUAAAGCAUUAUUUGAGUGAAAAGAAACUUAUUGCAACAAAUUCACAAUAAAAUAUAUCACAUUUAAAAAUGUUGCUGAAUUGCAGAAAAAUGAGGAAAAUUUUACAUUUUCUCAAACAGGGUAAGGAACUUGCUUUCUCGAAUAACUUCUGGCACAGACAUCUGAGGGCAUGGCCGUCCAAGAAGAAAAUGUAGCCAUUCAUGCCAUCUAUCGACCACAGGUUAAAGAUUGGUGAUCCGUUGGAUACCGACCGAGUUAUAGCCAAAACUUGGCGUAAAAUGAGCCUUAUGAAAUUUUCAAGUUUUUGGAUUUUUUUUUAAUUUUCUUAAAUUUUUAUUCUUUUUUUAUUUAAAACAUUAUUUGAGUGAAAAGAAACUUAUUUCAUUCGAUUGGCAUUAAAAUAAAUCAAUUUUAUUUUUUUUUGCAAAAUUUCUCAAAAAAUGGCAAGGGGUAAGCCUUAUGAAAUUUUCGAGUGGAAAAUUUUUCUGAAAUUUUUUUCUGAUUUUUUAUUCUUUUUUUAAUUUAAAGCAUUAUUUGAGUGAAAAGAAACUUAUUGCAACAAAUUCGCAAUAAAAUAUAUCACAUUUAAAAAUUUUGCUGAAUUGCUCAAAAAUGACGAAAAUUUUACAUUUUCUCAAACAGGGUAAGGAACUUGGUUCCUCGCAUAACUUCCGGCACAUACAUCUGAGGGCAUGGCCGUCAAGGAAGAAAAUGUAGCCAUUGGUGCCAUCUAUCGACCACAUGUUAAAGAUUGGCGAUCCGUUGGAUACCGACCGAGUUAUAGCCAAAACUUGGUGCAAAAAUGAGGAAAAUUUUACAUUUUCUCAAACAGGGUAAGGAACUGUUUUUAAUUUUUUUAUAAUUUUGUAGUCUGUUUUUAAUUUAAAGCAAUAUUUGUUUGAAAACAAACUUUUUAGAACCAAUUUUUCAUUAAAAUAAUUCAAUAUAAUUUUUUUUGCAAAAUUUCUCAAAAAAACGUAAGAGUUAACGUAUUGGGUUGCUAAACUCUUUUAUUUUAUUAGUAAUGUACUCUUACAUUCGAUUACCGGUGGUCUCUUGUCUUUAAUAAAUGUAUUUAAAAGGUCUUUGGUAAAUAAAAUGUGUCUAAUAAGAGAUCAAGAUUAAUUCCUGAACACUGAACUGAACUUUGAGGACAACACCAUGCUGAUGAACAAAUAUAUACUUCUUGGAUCAUCUUCCAAAACGGAUCAUUUCUAAACCCCAUAGCAGCCGCAAAAAAGAUGUUAUUCUUAGAUAAUAAUUGAAUACGCUAUGAGAGAAGAAAGAAGAAACCCAGAGAGAAGUUUGAAGUACAGCUACGCUUUGUUAUUUUGAUGAGCCAGGAUAAGGAUAUAUUAUUGAUUAAAGGGCAUAAACUUAAUCAAACUUUGAAAAGUUUUUGUGGUUGUUUACAACUACUAACAACAUAAAAGUUAUACAUUCUAAUAACUCAUUGUUUAGCCAUUCAUUGAAACUGCUUUGUAAUCUUGCCGGAUCUAUGUUGUACGGUUAUCGGCUAUGGUGUUAACCCUACCUCCUUAACUAAACAAAACCACACUAACCAGAUUGAUGUCAUAAAGAAAGAAAAGAGUAAGUGCGCAAUUUGUUCCCCUUCAAAAUAAAUUUAACUUAACACCGCAAGUUUCAAGUUUACACAGCACAAAUGAAAACGGGAAAUAAAACAUAUCAACUGCCUGAUGCACUUAUCUGUCCUGUUGGCAACAGUUUCUUAGAUUUGGACUAUAACCUGAACAGAUUAUCGCUUACCGUGGGAUGACAGCAGCUUGUAUAGGGAGAUAAAAACAGGUUUAGGGCUUUUUUUUGUUUUAAGUAAACGCCCCAAAAACAAAACCACAACUUCAUCGCGUGAAUUUUAAUCCUUAAAAGAAGAGAGUAAACAAAUCCGGAACAUGGCUUCCAUAUAAUGACGUCAAAUACUCAAAAAUAAUAACAUCUGUGGAGUGAUAGGUCGCCUUAAAAUUGUCCCAAAAAAACUCAACAAGUUUGCGAAAACCGUAACGAUAAGAUUUGACGACCUUACGAUCUGCUAACGAUAAAAGAUAAACCGACCAAAUUGGCAGAUUAGUACACGUUGGUUAGUAUUGACAGAUAGAAGUCAUAAACGAAACCUGUAUAAACGAGCUCAUACGUUAUUAAUUGACACUUCGUUUAGUACCGGCAACAGUACCUUUAUCGUAUGGCUCGGUCUGGGUUAUAAACGUGCAUAGCUGUAUAAGUAAAAGCAUCAAGAUAUUAAAUUUACAACGAUUGUAAAGUGUCUACACGUCACUCGUAUUGGGAAAUUAUGUCAAUGACACCUGGGAGAGGAAGUGCGCCAUUGUCAGCCAUUUAUAUCUGUGCUGAAUUCUUGUAUUGUUGCAAUUGUUCAAUGUUCCAGAAACGAUAUGCUUACAAGUUGUGGAAUAUCUUUUGUUUGUAGUAUUUUAGGAAGAAAUCAUGGUAAUUAUGUUAACUGCCUUCUAAGCUAUAAAUUUCUGUUGGUGUAGUACACAAACAUACACCUUUCUCAUGAUUACUAUCAAAAUACGUUACAUAAAUACUAGUAACAUAUUUAACAAUGAUUUUCCAAUUCUAUAUAGAUCGAAAAGAUAAAUUAAUCGAGAUAACACAAUUCGACUCUUCUAUGACAGUUAAUUGAUUUAUAAUAAAUAUAAUAGUUUUAAACGAUGCUAUGUUUAACUACUUCUGAAUAUACAGAAAAAGCGUACAAAUUAUAAAUAAUUCUGAGAAAUCGUAAUGCUGUUCAACGGUUUCCAGCUAAAACCAGCUCACCCGGGAAGGUAUUCACCGUGACAGUGAUAACGUCAUUUGGAAAUGCUUCACCGAGCAGAUAAUUUCCGUUGAAAUUAUAAACAGCUU